GAAUCUUCCACAAUGGACGAAAGUCUGAUGGAGCAAUGCCGCGUGAGUGAAGAAGGUUUUCGGAUCGUAAAACUCUGUUGUGAGGGAAGAACAAGUACGAGAGUAACUGCUCGUGCCUUGACGGUACCUCAUUAGAAAGCCACGGCUCACUACGUCCCAGCCGCCGAGGUAAUACGGAGGUGGCAAGCGUUGUCCGGAAUUAUUGGGCGUAAAGCGCGCGCAGGCGGUCCCUUAAGUCGGAUGUGAAAGCCCACGGCUCAACCGUGGAAGGUCAUUGGAAACUGGGGGACUUGAGUACAGAAGAGGAAAGCGGAAUUCCAAGUGUAGCGGUGAAAUGUGUAGAGAUUUGGAGGAACACCAGUGGCGAAGGCGGCUUUCUGGUCUGUAACUGACGCUGAGGCGCGAAAGCGUGGGGAGCAAACA
This 423-nucleotide ribosomal RNA is filed under the name uncultured bacterium. RNAcentral describes it as "bacterial SSU rRNA". It matches the Rfam family "Bacterial small subunit ribosomal RNA", at positions 359 to 774 of the family's 1533-position model. The record is from RNAcentral.